AGUGAACGCUGGCGGUAGGCCUAACACAUGCAAGUCGAACGGCAGCACAGUAAGAGCUUGCUCUUACGGGUGGCGAGUGGCGGACGGGUGAGGAAUACAUCGGAAUCUACUUUUUCGUGGGGGAUAACGUAGGGAAACUUACGCUAGUACCGCAUACGACCUACGGGUGAAAGCAGGGGAUCUUCGGACCUUGCGCGAUUGAAUGAGCCGAUGUCGGAUUAGCUAGUUGGCGGGGUAAAGGCCCACCAAGGCGACGAUCCGUAGCUGGUCUGAGAGGAUGAUCAGCCACACUGGAACUGAGACACGGUCCAGACUCCUACGGGAGGCAGCAGCGGGGAAUAUUGGACAAUGGGCGCAAGCCUGAUCCAGCCAUACCGCGUGGGUGAAGAAGGCCUUCGGGUUGUAAAGCCCUUUUGUUGGGAAAGAAAAGCAGCAGGUUAAUACCCCGCUGUUCUGACGGUACCCAAAGAAUAAGCACCGGCUAACUUCGUG
Molecule: ribosomal RNA, 492 nt
Filed under: uncultured bacterium
Lineage: Bacteria
Description: partial 16S ribosomal RNA
Rfam family: Bacterial small subunit ribosomal RNA
Source: RNAcentral